RNAcentral lists this transfer RNA (74 nucleotides) under Candidatus Cybelea sp. RNAcentral's name for it is "tRNA-Gln". It matches the Rfam family "tRNA". Rfam says of the family: Transfer RNA (tRNA) molecules are approximately 80 nucleotides in length. Their secondary structure includes four short double-helical elements and three loops (D, anti-codon, and T loops). Lineage: Bacteria; Bacillati; Vulcanimicrobiota; Vulcanimicrobiia; Vulcanimicrobiales; Vulcanimicrobiaceae. The record is from RNAcentral. RNAcentral also lists the same sequence under 1 other name.
UCCGGGGUCGUUCAACGGUAGGACGCGACACUCUGAAUGUCGUUAUCGGAGUUCAAAUCUCUGCCCCGGAGCCA